RNAcentral lists this ribosomal RNA (275 nucleotides) under uncultured bacterium. Its description in RNAcentral is "partial 16S ribosomal RNA". It matches the Rfam family "Bacterial small subunit ribosomal RNA", at positions 335 to 600 of the family's 1533-position model. The record is from RNAcentral.
ACUCCUACGGGAGGCAGCAGUGGGGAAUAUUGCACANGAUGGGCAGCAAGCCUGAUGCAGCCAUGCCGCGUGUGUGAAGAAGGCCUUCGGGUUGUAAAGCACUUUCAGUAAGGAGGAAAGGUUAGUAGUUAAUACCUGCUAGCUGUGACGUUACUUACAGAAGAAGCACCGGCUAACUCCGUGCCAGCAGCCGCGUAAUACGGAGGGUGCGAGCGUUAAUCGGAAUUACUGGGCGUAAAGCGUACGCAGGCGGUUUGUUAAGCGAGAUGUGAAAG